RNAcentral lists this ribosomal RNA (459 nucleotides) under uncultured bacterium. RNAcentral's name for it is "partial 16S ribosomal RNA". It matches the Rfam family "Bacterial small subunit ribosomal RNA", at positions 338 to 795 of the family's 1533-position model. The record is from RNAcentral.
CCUACGGGAGGCAGCAGUGAGGAAUAUUGGUCAAUGGCCGGGAGGCUGAACCAGCCAAGUCGCGUGAGGGAAGACGGCCCUACGGGUUGUAAACCUCUUUUGUCAGGGAGCAAGGUGCAGGUCGGGACCUGCUGUGAGAGUACCUGAAGAAAAAGCAUCGGCUAACUCCGUGCCAGCAGCCGCGGUAAUACGGAGGAUGCGAGCGUUAUCCGGAUUUAUUGGGUUUAAAGGGUGCGCAGGCGGAGGCACAAGUCAGCGGUAAAAAUUCGGGGCUCAACCCCGUCGUGCCGUUGAAACUGAUGUUCUUGAGUGGGCGAGAAGUAUGCGGAAUGCGUGGUGUAGCGGUGAAAUGCAUAGAUAUCACGCAGAACUCCGAUUGCGAAGGCAGCAUACCGGCGCCCAACUGACGCUGAAGCACGAAAGCGUGGGUAUCGAACAGGAUUAGAUACCCUUGUAGUC